RNAcentral lists this ribosomal RNA (803 nucleotides) under Lacticaseibacillus paracasei. Its description in RNAcentral is "bacterial SSU rRNA". It matches the Rfam family "Bacterial small subunit ribosomal RNA", at positions 46 to 795 of the family's 1533-position model. Lineage: Bacteria; Bacillati; Bacillota; Bacilli; Lactobacillales; Lactobacillaceae. The record is from RNAcentral.
GCGCAGUGCCAGCUAGUCAGUAACUGCAGUCGUACGAGUUCUCGCGUGAUGAUCGGUAGCGUUGCACCGAGAUUCAACAUGGAACGAGUGGCGGACGGGUGAGUAACACGUGGGUAACCUGCCCUUAAGUGGGGGAUAACAUUUGGAAACAGAUGCUAAUACCGCAUAGAUCCAAGAACCGCAUGGUUCUUGGCUGAAAGAUGGCGUAAGCUAUCGCUUUUGGAUGGACCCGCGGCGUAUUAGCUAGUUGGUGAGGUAAUGGCUCACCAAGGCGAUGAUACGUAGCCGAACUGAGAGGUUGAUCGGCCACAUUGGGACUGAGACACGGCCCAAACUCCUACGGGAGGCAGCAGUAGGGAAUCUUCCACAAUGGACGCAAGUCUGAUGGAGCAACGCCGCGUGAGUGAAGAAGGCUUUCGGGUCGUAUUUUCUCUGUUGUUGGAGAAGAAUGGUCGGCAGAGUAACUGUUGUCGGCGUGACGGUAUCCAACCAGAAAGCCACGGCUAACUACGUGCCAGCAGCCGCGGUAAUACGUAGGUGGCAAGCGUUAUCCGGAUUUAUUGGGCGUAAAGCGAGCGCAGGCGGUUUUUUAAGUCUGAUGUGAAAGCCCUCGGCUUAACCGAGGAAGCGCAUCGGAAACUGGGAAACUUGAGUGCAGAAGAGGACAGUGGAACUCCAUGUGUAGCGGUGAAAAUGCGUAGAUAUAUGGAAGAACACCAGUGGCGAAGGCGGCUGUCUGGUCUGUACCUGACGCUGAGGCUCGAAAGCAUGGGUAGUGAAGAGGAUUAGAUACCCUGGGAGUC